CCUGGCGGCCGUAGCGCGGUGGUCCCACCUGACCCCAUGCCGAACUCAGAAGUGAAACGCCGUAGSGCCGAUGGUAGUGUGGGGUCUCCCCAUGCGAGAGUAGGGAACUGCCAGGC
This 116-nucleotide ribosomal RNA is filed under the name Escherichia coli. The record is from RNAcentral. Lineage: Bacteria; Pseudomonadati; Pseudomonadota; Gammaproteobacteria; Enterobacterales; Enterobacteriaceae.